Hordeum vulgare subsp. vulgare (domesticated barley) is the source of this 135-nucleotide non-coding RNA. The record is from Rfam. NCBI's taxonomy places the organism in Eukaryota, Viridiplantae, Streptophyta, Magnoliopsida, Poales, Poaceae.
GUCUUACUCCCUCCGCCCCAAGUUAGUUGUCUUAAAUUUGUUUAGAUAUGCAUGUAUCUAGACACGUUUUAGUGUUAGAUACAUCCGUAUAUAUACAAAUUUAAGACAACUAAUUUGAAUCGAAGAUAAUAUAUU